CUAUUUCACCGAAAGAAAAAGAAAAAAGAUAGAAAGAGAGAGAGACAGAGAGAUUAGAAAUAAGUGGGAAAAAAAUAAAAAAGAGAGAGCAAAAUGAAAAUAAAUAAAUAAAUAGAAAGAAAGAAAAUAGGAGAGAGAAAAAAUAAUAAAUAAAAUAAUAAUUAUUGCCAUAAGGCUCCGACGAGAUAUUGAUGUGGUUGGAAUUGGACAGCAG
This 214-nucleotide long non-coding RNA is filed under the name Elaeis guineensis (African oil palm). RNAcentral's name for it is "long non-coding RNA (EGUI_LNC053590)". Lineage: Eukaryota; Viridiplantae; Streptophyta; Magnoliopsida; Arecales; Arecaceae. The record is from RNAcentral.